UAUUGUUCAAGUCUGUACAAUUACGCUAUUAAUGCUGAAAAUGAUUCCUAUAAGCUUUCAUUUAAGAUGAUGAGAAAUUUAGAUAUCUUUAUGAAAACUUCAAAAGAAAAAUUGGCGAUGAAUCUUUUUUAUGAUAAUAGCGAAUGUGAGAAUUGAAAUAUGUACCACAAACAUACUUUCACGCACAUAUUGUCGAUGCAAGCGUACAUUGACGAAUAAGGGGCCCUGUAAUCUCGACUAUCUCGUAGGUUUGCUGCACAUUUAACAGUCAGCAUGCAGUCAUCCAACUAUUAUGUCAUUCGGAACCUAUAAGAAUAGAUCUACAACAGUGGUUCUCAAAUUAUUCUUUAUGAAUUUGGGAGAUGAAAAUUAUAACACAAAUCAGUCCACUAUUAAUUUUUAUAAAACGACAUUCUGCAUUUAUUAUUAUAAAAAUUUAUAUUUUUACAACUCAUGAAAACUCGUCGUAACAGUAAAUAAAAUUAUAACAUAAUUUAAUUAAGUACAAAACUAAAGAUAUAAUACGUUUAAAAAUUAACAUAUAUAUAGGAUUGUGUGAAUUCAAAUUCUCAAAAUCUUAAUCUUAAUUUAUAUUACCAUGAUUUUGAGUUUGUCAAUUUUAUUAAGAAUCGAUUUCGAUCAUUUUCCUAUAUAUCGAAAAACAUAACCUAUAAUAUAGAUGAUACUCUAAAGUUUAACAACCAAAUUUUCUAAUUAUACUCCAUGACUAUGAUUAAUAAAAGAAUAUUAUAUAAACACAAAA
Bombus impatiens (common eastern bumble bee) is the source of this 763-nucleotide long non-coding RNA. RefSeq lists it as uncharacterized. Lineage: Eukaryota; Metazoa; Arthropoda; Insecta; Hymenoptera; Apidae. The record is from RefSeq and is a predicted model, not a curated record. The transcript is spliced from 2 exons.